GGAGUUUCUGUGAUCGUUCUGCCGGACGGUCGUCGAGUAAAAAAUCGUGGGUGUAGGCGAAGGGCAUGCGAAAGGCCCGGCGUAGAGGGUAAGACCCCCGUAGCUGAAAUGUCUGCGACUCGAUAUGAGACCACCCAAGUAGCAUAGGGCCCGAGAAACCUUGUGUGAAUCUGGCGGGACCACCCGUUAAGCCUAAAUAUUCCCUGGUGACCGAUAGUGGAUAGUACCGUGAGGGA
This 236-nucleotide ribosomal RNA is filed under the name Streptomyces millisiae. RNAcentral describes it as "Streptomyces sp. DSM 44918 partial 23S ribosomal RNA". It matches the Rfam family "Bacterial large subunit ribosomal RNA", at positions 293 to 510 of the family's 2925-position model. The record is from RNAcentral. Lineage: Bacteria; Bacillati; Actinomycetota; Actinomycetes; Kitasatosporales; Streptomycetaceae.